AUACGGAGGGUGCGAGCGUUGUUCGGAAUCAUUGGGCGUAAAGAGCGUGUAGGCGGCGGGGUGUGUCUGAUGUGAAAGCCCGGAGCUCAACUCCGGAAGUGCAUUGGAAACUGCCUCGCUUGAGUCCCGGAGAGGGUAGUGGAAUUCCUGGUGUAGAGGUGAAAUUCGUAGAUAUCAGGAGGAACACCGGUGGCGAAGGCGACUACCUGGACGGAGACUGACGCUGAGACGCGAAAGCGUGGGGAGCAAACAGGAUUAGAAACCCUAGUAGUCC
RNAcentral lists this ribosomal RNA (274 nucleotides) under uncultured bacterium. RNAcentral's name for it is "partial 16S ribosomal RNA". It matches the Rfam family "Bacterial small subunit ribosomal RNA", at positions 523 to 796 of the family's 1533-position model. The record is from RNAcentral.